This 253-nucleotide ribosomal RNA is filed under the name uncultured bacterium. Its description in RNAcentral is "partial 16S ribosomal RNA". It matches the Rfam family "Bacterial small subunit ribosomal RNA", at positions 524 to 776 of the family's 1533-position model. The record is from RNAcentral.
UACGUAGGGGGCAAGCGUUGUCUGGAUUUAUUGGGCGUAAAGAGCGUGUAGGCGGCCUGAAAGGUCAGCUGUGAAAACUCGAGGCUCAACCUCGAGACGUCGGUUGAAACCAUCUGGCUAGAGUCCGGAAGAGGAGUGUGGAAUUCCCGGUGUAGCGGUGAAAUGCGCAGAUAUCGGGAAGAACACCCGUGGCGAAGGCGGCACUCUGGGACGGUACUGACGCUGAGACGCGAAAGCGUGGGGAGCGAACAGG